ACCACCACUAAUUUUCGUAAAGGAACAUGGUAACUCAAAAGAGAAUAUUAGAUGCGUUGGUGAUGGUGAAAUUAUUUCCGACAUUAAA
Sinocyclocheilus anshuiensis is the source of this 88-nucleotide long non-coding RNA. RefSeq lists it as uncharacterized. The transcript has 3 exons. Lineage: Eukaryota; Metazoa; Chordata; Actinopteri; Cypriniformes; Cyprinidae. The record is from RefSeq and is a predicted model, not a curated record.